This 273-nucleotide long non-coding RNA is filed under the name Sorghum bicolor (sorghum). RNAcentral describes it as "long non-coding RNA (SBIC_LNC016551)". Lineage: Eukaryota; Viridiplantae; Streptophyta; Magnoliopsida; Poales; Poaceae. The record is from RNAcentral.
GGAUGGACAUGGACUUAUUCAUGUCCCGCACUUUCUGGUUUAAUUUAAUCAGAUGAUGGGAUGAUGACGACAACCGCAGAUUUGUCUUUCCUUGUACCUUAUCUUUUUUGUUUCCUCGCAACAGCAUAACCAAGAGCAAUCCUUUGUACCUUAUCUUUUUUGUUUCCUCGCGACAGCAUAACCAAGGUGCUUGUAAGGCAGUUGUGCACCUGUCUCUAUUGUUGUUGUUGCUUUAUGGUCUUGUCUUGAACAAUGUGACUUGUCAUAAGGAGU